RNAcentral lists this ribosomal RNA (492 nucleotides) under uncultured bacterium. Its description in RNAcentral is "partial 16S ribosomal RNA". It matches the Rfam family "Bacterial small subunit ribosomal RNA", at positions 30 to 507 of the family's 1533-position model. The record is from RNAcentral.
AUUGAACGCUGGCGGCAUGCUUUACACAUGCCAGUCGAACGGUAACAGGCCUUCGGGUGCUGACGAGUGGCGAACGGGUGAGUAAUGCAUCGGAACGUACCCAGAGGUGGGGGAUAACGCAGCGAAAGCUGUGCUAAUACCGCAUGUGAUCUGAGGAUGAAAGCGGGGGACCGAGCAGCAAUGUUUGGCCUCGCGCCUUUGGAGCGGCCGAUGUCGGAUUAUCUAGUUGGUGGGGUAAAGGCCUACCAAGGCGACGAUCCGUAGCUGGUCUGAGAGGACGACCAGCCACACUGGGACUGAGACACGGCCCAGACUCCUACGGGAGGCAGCAGUGGGGAAUUUUGGACAAUGGGCGCAAGCCUGAUCCAGCAAUGCCGCGUGCGGGAAGAAGGCCUUCGGGUUGUAAACCGCUUUUGGCAGGAACGAAACGGUGUCCGCUAAUACCGGGCGCUAAUGACGGUACCUGCAGAAUAAGCACCGGCUAACUACGUG